AGCUCCAAUAGCGUAUAUUAAAGUUGUUGCAGUUAAAAAGCUCGUAGUUGGAUUUCUGGCAGGAGCGGCCGGCCACGCGCUCUGCGCGUGAGUUUGCGCUGUCUCUGGCCAUCCUCGGGGAGAUCGCGUUUGGCAUUAAGUUGUCGGGCGUGGGAUGCCCGUCGUUUACUGUGAAAAAAUUAGAGUGUUUAAAGCAGGCUUAUGCCGUUGAAUAUAUUAGCAUGGAAUAAUAAGAUAGGACUUCGGAACUAUUUUGUUGGUUUGCGUUACGAAGUAAUGAUUAAUAGGGACAGUUGGGGGUAUUCGUAUUUCGUUGUCAGAGGUGAAAUUCUUGGAUUUCCGAAAGACGAACUACUGCGAAAGCAUUUACCAAGGAUGUUUUCAUUAAUCAAGAACGAAA
Molecule: ribosomal RNA, 400 nt
Filed under: phytoplankton environmental sample
Lineage: Eukaryota
Description: partial small subunit ribosomal RNA
Rfam family: Eukaryotic small subunit ribosomal RNA
Source: RNAcentral